RNAcentral lists this ribosomal RNA (249 nucleotides) under uncultured bacterium. RNAcentral describes it as "partial 16S ribosomal RNA". It matches the Rfam family "Bacterial small subunit ribosomal RNA", at positions 796 to 1041 of the family's 1533-position model. The record is from RNAcentral.
CACGCUGUAAACGAUGAACACUAGAUUUUAUGGGAAUUGACCCCUGUAGAGUCGGAGCUAACGCGAUAAGUGUUCCGCCUGGGAAGUACGGUCGCAAGACUAAAACUCAAAGGAAUUGACGGGGGCCCGCACAAGCGGUGGAUCAUGUGGUUUAAUUCGAAGCAACGCGAAGAACCUUACCUAGGUUUGACAUCCUUGGACCGCUGUAGAAAUACAGUUUUUGUAGCAAUACAACCGAGAGACAGGUGC